Molecule: ribosomal RNA, 439 nt
Filed under: uncultured bacterium
Lineage: Bacteria
Description: partial 16S ribosomal RNA
Rfam family: Bacterial small subunit ribosomal RNA
Source: RNAcentral
CUACGGGUGGCAGCAGUGGGGAAUAUUGGACAAUGGGGGAAACCCUGAUGCAGCAACGCCGCGUGGAGGAUGACGCAUUUCGGUGUGUAAACUCCUUUUAUAUAGGAAGAUAAUGACGGUACUAUAUGAAUAAGCACCGGCUAACUCCGUGCCAGCAGCCGCGGUAAUACGGAGGGUGCAAGCGUUACUCGGAAUCACUGGGCGUAAAGCGCGCGCAGGCGGCCUUUUAAGUUGGAUGUGAAAGCCUAUGGCUUAACCAUAGAACUGCAUCCAAAACUAUCAGGCUAGAGUCUGGGAGGGGAAGAUGGAAUUAGUUGUGUAGGGGUAAAAUCCGUAGAGAUAACUAGGAAUACCAAAAGCGAAGGCGAUCUUCUGGAACAGUACUGACGCUAAGGCGUGAAAGCGUGGGGAGCAAACAGGAUUAGAUACCCGAGUAGUC